RNAcentral lists this ribosomal RNA (254 nucleotides) under uncultured bacterium. RNAcentral's name for it is "partial 16S ribosomal RNA". It matches the Rfam family "Bacterial small subunit ribosomal RNA", at positions 524 to 776 of the family's 1533-position model. The record is from RNAcentral.
UACGGGGGGAGCAAGCGUUGUUCGGAUUUACUGGGCGUAAAGGGCGCGUAGGCGGCCUCUGCAAGUCGACUGUGAAAUCUCCGGGCUUAACCCGGAAAGGUCAGCCGAUACUGCAGGGCUAGAGUGCAGAAGGGGCAACUGGAAUUCUCGGUGUAGAGGUGAAAUUCGUAGAUAUCGAGAGGAACACCGGUGGCGAAGGCGGCCUUCUGGACAGUGACUGACGCUGAGACGCGAAAGCGUGGGGAGCAAACAGG